GCGGGCGUGGCGAAACUGGUAGACGCAAGAGACUUAAAAUCUCUCGGCUUCGGCUGUGCGGGUUCGAUCCCCGCCGCCCGCACCA
RNAcentral lists this transfer RNA (85 nucleotides) under Ensifer adhaerens. Its description in RNAcentral is "tRNA-Leu". It matches the Rfam family "tRNA". Rfam says of the family: Transfer RNA (tRNA) molecules are approximately 80 nucleotides in length. Lineage: Bacteria; Pseudomonadati; Pseudomonadota; Alphaproteobacteria; Hyphomicrobiales; Rhizobiaceae. The record is from RNAcentral. RNAcentral also lists the same sequence under 10 other names.